RNAcentral lists this ribosomal RNA (253 nucleotides) under uncultured bacterium. Its description in RNAcentral is "partial 16S ribosomal RNA". It matches the Rfam family "Bacterial small subunit ribosomal RNA", at positions 524 to 776 of the family's 1533-position model. The record is from RNAcentral.
UACGAAGGGGGCUAGCGUUGCUCGGAAUCACUGGGCGUAAAGGGUGCGUAGGCGGGCUGUCAAGUCUGGGGUGAAAUCCCGCGGCUCAACCGUGGAACUGCCUCAGAUACUGACGGUCUCGAGGGGGAUAGGGGCGAGCGGAACUAAUGGUGGAGCGGUGAAAUGCGUUGAUAUCAUUAGGAACUCCGGUGGCGAAGGCGGCUCGCUGGAUCUCUUCUGACGCUGAGGCGCGAAAGCUAGGGGAGCAAACGGG